RNAcentral lists this unclassified non-coding RNA (300 nucleotides) under uncultured Rozellomycota. RNAcentral's name for it is "uncultured Cryptomycota sequence contains 5.8S rRNA gene, ITS2". The stretch from base 1 to 71 matches the Rfam family "5.8S ribosomal RNA", at positions 84 to 154 of the family's 154-position model. Lineage: Eukaryota; Fungi; Rozellomycota. The record is from RNAcentral.
GUGAAUCAUCGAAUCUUUGAACGCACCUUGCACCGUAUGAGCAAUUGUACGGUAUACCUGUUUGAGAAUCGUAAAAAUCUAUCCCUACCAUUUGGUGGGAGACUUGUCGGUUGUGCCCUUUGGGGUACUCUGAUUAAAUACAGUAGGUCUGGAUCAGGCUAGUGGCCUGGGACACUAUGUGCUAGAGACGUCGCGUUGUUGACUGUCUUCUCAUGGUGCGUCCUAGGCUGUUAAGCUGGCUUGGUCAAGCCUCUACAGUCUAUGCCUUGUGCGUAGACAACCCCCCUUUUUGAUCUCAAA